UGACCGCCCUCCUCCCGGAGGCGCCAAGGCCAUACGGACAGCCGGGUCAAAUGCCGA
Molecule: small RNA, 57 nt
Filed under: uncultured Agathobaculum sp.
Lineage: Bacteria; Bacillati; Bacillota; Clostridia; Eubacteriales; Butyricicoccaceae
Description: Streptococcus sRNA SpF59 (ldcC RNA)
Rfam family: Streptococcus sRNA SpF59 (ldcC RNA)
Source: RNAcentral